Molecule: ribosomal RNA, 1263 nt
Filed under: Stenocladius sp. FM17
Lineage: Eukaryota; Metazoa; Arthropoda; Insecta; Coleoptera; Lampyridae
Description: 16S ribosomal RNA
Rfam family: Archaeal large subunit ribosomal RNA (bases 1018-1176)
Source: RNAcentral
UAAUAUUAAAUUAUUAUUUAUUUUUAUAUAAUUAUGUUUAUUUUUAUUAUUAUUUAUGAAAAAAUUGUUUUUAUUAUAGUUUAUUAGUAAUGAAAUUGAAAUUUUUUAUUGUUUUAAAAGAAAAUUUAAUUUAUUGUUCCUUGUGUAUCAGUAUUGAUUUAUUAAUUUGUAUUAAUUUAUUUUUCUCGAAUUUUAAAGAUUUAUUUAAAUAUAAAUAUAAUUGUUUCAUAAUUUUUUAAAAUAUUUAAUUUGAAAUGAAAUGUUAUUCGUUUUUUAGUAUAUCUAGUUUUUCAAGAAAUGAAUUUAAUUCAAUUAGUUUUACUUAAAUUUUAAUUUUUAAUUUUUAUGUUAUUCUAUUAAAUUUAUAUUGGGAUUAGCUUAUUUAAAUAAUUUUAAAAAUUUGUUGUAUAUUUAUUUUGUAUGAUUUGAAUUUUCUUUCAUUUAAAUAAUUUAAUAUUUUUUUUUAAUUUUAAUUUUAUUUAUAUUUAUUUUAUGUUUUAUAUUGAAAAAUUUAUUUUAAUUUAUAUUAUAUUUAUUUUGAUUAAAUUAGUAAAUUUAAUUAUUUUUUUUUUAUAUUUUUUUUUAUGUUAUUAAAAGGAAUUAGGCAAAAAUUAUUUCUGCCUGUUUAAUAAAAACAUGUCUUUUUGAAUUAUAAUAUAAAGUUUGGUCUGCUCAAUGAAUGUUUAAAUUGCCGCGGUAUUUUAACUGUGCAAAGGUAGCAUAAUAAUUAGCUUUUUUAUUGAAAGCUGGAAUGAAUGAUUUGACAAGAAAUAAUCUGUCUCUUAAUAAUUUUUAUUUAAUUUAACUUUUUAGUUAAAAGGCUAAAAUUUUUCUUAAAGACGAGAAGACCCUAUAGAGUUUAAUUUUAUUUUUUGUUUUUUAUUUAGUAUUUAUUUUUAAUUUUAAAAUAAAAUUUUAUUGGGGUGAUUGGAAGAUUUAAUUAACUCUUUUUUUAUAAAUCAUUUAUUUAUGAAUAUUUAAUCUUAUUUUUUGAAUUUAAAAUUAAAUUACCUUAGGGAUAACAGCGUUAUUUUUCUUUAGAGUUCUUAUUAAAAGAAAUUAUUGCGACCUCGAUGUUGGAUUAAAAUUUAAUUUUGGUGAAGUAGCUUUAGUUUUUAGUCUGUUCGACUAUUAAAAUUUUACAUGAUCUGAGUUUAAACCGGUGUGAGCCAGGUUGGUUUCUAUCUUUAGUUAUAUAAAAUAUUUUAGUACGAAAGGACCAUUUAUUUAAUAUAUUAUUUAUUUAUUAUUUUGAAUAUUAUU